This 235-nucleotide ribosomal RNA is filed under the name uncultured Staphylococcus sp. RNAcentral describes it as "partial 16S ribosomal RNA". It matches the Rfam family "Bacterial small subunit ribosomal RNA", at positions 105 to 334 of the family's 1533-position model. The record is from RNAcentral. Lineage: Bacteria; Bacillati; Bacillota; Bacilli; Caryophanales; Staphylococcaceae.
GGUGAGUAACACGUGGAUAACCUACCUAUAAGACUUGGAUAACUUCGGGAAACCGGAGCUAAUACCGGAUAAUAUUUUGAACCGCAUGGUUCAAAAGUGAAAGACGGUCUUGCUGUCACUUAUAGAUGGAUCCGCGCUGCAUUAGCUAGUUGGUAAGGUAACGGCUUACCAAGGCAACGAUGCAUAGCCGACCUGAGAGGGUGAUCGGCCACACUGGAACUGAGACACGGUCCAG